UUCUUCAAUCAUGAGUUGAACAAUACGCCGAUUAGCUUAGUACGGGGUAUGCACGUAUUUGGAAGAAACAAAGAAAUAAUUUCCAGUUGAGCGGCGGCAGCCUGACGAAGAAGAGGAAAUAAUGCCGCUGCGUCACCGCCGCCGCCUCUUCUUCCUCGCACGAGAAACACCGUCUUGUCCAGGGCAAGGAAGACGUGCUGCGUCUUCGUGGGCGGCGGCCGUAGCUGAGCACGCCCGCUCUGGCCGCCACGCCGCCGCACUCACCGUCUUCCGGCGCGUCCUCGCCGCUCACCCUGACGCCGCCGUCGCCGACGUGAUCGCCUACUCAGCGCUUCUCCGCUGUCGCGACGCUGGAUUGGCCCACCAGAUCCACGCGCAGGCAUGCCGCCGCGGCUUUGCUUCCUCCAACCCCAUCCUCUCCUGCUCCCUGCUCGUCUUCUACUCCUCCGACCUCCCGGCUGCCACCAAGCUGUUCGACGAAAUGGCGCACAGGGAUGCCUUCUCCUACACCGCCAUGAUGUCGGCUCUCCUCCGCGCCGGGGACUGGGCGCAGGCUCUUGCACUCUACACUCGCAUGCUUGCUGCUGCUGUGCCUCCCACCCACCACACCUUUGCCACCCUGCUUGCUCUCUGCGCCUCCAGGCGCCUGUGUCGCCAUGGGAGGCAGCUCCACGCGCAGUUCCUCCGUUGGCAGGUCGACCUUAACCUGGUGCUCAAGACCGCACUCGUCCACAUGUACUCCAGGUGCGGCUUCAUGGACCAUGCGCACACCGUGCUCUGCUCCACGCCUGAGACAGACGUCGUGCUCUGGACGGCCAUGAUUUCCGGCUACUCGCAGGCUGGAGACCUCCAGACCGCUCUUCAGAUGUUUCGCUACAUGGAACAUGCCGCGAUGCUGCCCAAUGCCUUCACCUUCGCAGGGGUCAUCACCGCCUGCUCAUCCUCCGUCCAGCCCCUGGCGAUACAAACUGGUCGGCAGCUCCAUGCCCGCGUGUUCAAGUUCGCCCUGGAGCAUGACAUCUCUGUCUGCAAUGCGCUUGUGGACUUCUACAGCAAGUCCUCCACCUGUUUGCUCGACUUGCUGCACACGUUCAAUGCCGUCGACAGGCCGAAUGUGGUGUCCUGGACCGCCUUCAUUGCUGGACUUGCACGCCAUGGCAGAGACGAGGACGCGUUUGCAGCGUUCGCUGAGAUGCGGGCUGGUGGGGUGCAACCUAACUCAUUCACCAUCUCCACCCUUCUCAAAGGCUGCAGCUCCUCACAGUCUUUCCUACAUGCUACAAAAAUACAUGCUUAUGUGCUCAAGACCAGCUCUGAGUCUUUGAAUGUGGCUGUUGGGAACUCGCUGGUUAAUCUUUAUUCCCGGUUUGCAAGAAUGGACGACGCAUGGGCAGUUGCGACAACAAUGGCCUUUGUAAGGGACAGCUUCACAUACACAAGCCUAGCCAAGGGAUUGAAUCAGAUUGGCCUUCCAAACAAGGCUCUUGGGAUGAUAAUUCACAUGUUUCAUGAGAAGGUACAUAUCGACGGUUUCAGUCUUGCCUGCUUCCUUUCUGCUGCUGCGACCUUGGCAUCUGUAGAGCCUGGGAAGCAGUUGCACUGCUGCUCGGUAAAACUGGGAUUGAACAGUCAGCUCUCGGUUUCUAACAGCCUUAUCAAUAUGUACAGCCAAUGCAAGUGUUUGGAGGAUGCUACGUGUGUUUUCCAGUCAAUCAAGGAGCCAAGUGUUGUGUCAUGGAAUGCUCUAAUAUCAGGGCUGGCAUCCAACGGAUGUUAUUAUGAAGCACUGUCCGCUUUUGAAGACAUGGCAUUGGUUGGGGUUCAGCCUGAUGGCGUCACUUUCUCCAUUGUGCUUUAUGCCUGCAGCCAUGGUGGCUUUAUUGACAUUGGGAUCAGCCAUUUCAGCUCUAUGAAGACUUUGUUUGGUAUUUCCCCACAAAGGAGCCACUACACACUCUUUCUAGAUAUGUUAGGACGAGCAGGUCGUCUUGCAGAGGCGGCAUGCACAAUUGAUACCAUGCCUGUGCAGCCAGACUUGUCGAUGUACAGGAAUCUGUUAGCAUUUUGUGAGCUCCAUAACGAUCUGGUUGUCGGCGAAACCAUUGCAAGGAAGGCACUGGAAUUAUACCCAUCGGAUACUGUCUUUCAGAAUAUACUUUCAGGCAUAUAUGGUGCUCCUUGGAAAGAUGAAUUUAGUGCACGUACCCACAUGAUGCAGGGGGAUGCAGAUAUUCAAGCUAAGGCCUAACAAACACGAGCUAAAGAUCAGUUUCUGUGUACUGGUUCUUGGAUUCUUUCUAUAUCGCUCCCAAGAGCCACAAGGAUUAUUUCUUGGGCCAUUUCUUUCGACAUGUCCACAUGAGCAUGAGGAGAAAUAAUAGGACAAGCCGUGGUGAGCAAACCAACAUGAUGUGUAAAUUCAGAAUCACUGACGUUGACAGUUCGCUUAGGUGCUUCAGUGAUCCAUCACUCGUGGUGUUACCGGUAAUUGAUUAUCACCACAGGGU
This is an RNA transcript of Brachypodium distachyon (stiff brome), 2507 nucleotides long. It is a transcript of the gene named pentatricopeptide repeat-containing protein At5g52850, chloroplastic, with no coding region annotated. The record is from RefSeq and is a predicted model, not a curated record. The transcript has 2 exons. Lineage: Eukaryota; Viridiplantae; Streptophyta; Magnoliopsida; Poales; Poaceae.